ACUGCUUUUGAUGCACUCCAGAACAUGGUUGGCUUUCUGGGCUGUGAGUGGUCAUUGCUAGCUCAUGUCGAGUUUUUCAUCAACCAUCACCUCCAAGUCCUUCUCUGAAGGGAGAAAGUCUUGACAUUACUAUAUCAUUACAGCCUUGACAUUGUGAGGGCAGGUUGGAGGGGAAAGACUGUUAACAAGCUUCCAUGAUAUUCUUGUAUCUCUAACCACACGAGCUAGGAUAUUAGUUUUGGGUAAGUCAUGAGCAGUUACAGUUUUAUUCACCAUGGAUUUAAUUCCAAGACCUCAUCUAGUCACAAUAAUUUCAAAGAGAUCAGACAGGAGAAAAUGUUGUUGUCCCUAUGAAAUUUAUAUCAACAGAAAAAGAAAGUAAUAUUAAUUCGUAGAUUCUUGACAUUCAUUGUCCUCAUACAGAGAUACACAGUGACUAAAGUGAGCAUUGCCCCUUCCUGACAGCGCUACCACUUCCUCACUGCAUAUUUUAUUUUCCUGUUUUAUUAUUGUUCUCAGGAAAUCCACAUAGAAUCCAAUAACAUACUUUUACUCACCAUUUUAAGUCAUUUGAAGCCUUUUUCCAAGUUUUUGUUGUUAAACAACGCCCCCUGCCCCCUUAAGGCCUGGAAACGGCACAGCAGUGCCGGCAUCGCCACCUGGCGAACAUCACCGGAACGGGAAGUGGAUCCCCGGGGAUUAGCACAGACGGAGUACUGGGACAAGAGCAUUAGGCGAGGCAUCUGAUGUCAGCGUGUUAAUUAAAGUGGGAAUGUAAGCCAUGGGAAAGUUCUUCAUCUAUCCUUCAGAUUUGUCACAAGCCCUAUGUUCCCUGAAAUUUCGCCUGGAGCUUUCUGUUCACAUUUUUUAUAACCUCAUCUCCUUGCUCCCAGCUAUUGGCUGUGUAAGAGAUAAUCCAUGUUUCUCAGCUCUCCAUGCUGGUUCCCCAAUACUGGCCCAAAUGCCAGAGUAGGACAAUACCUUCCUUGAAGUAUCCAAAACUGGACACAGCUGGGGCAGACAUCUUCAAGGAGAGCUGAAGAAUUGCUAAAUAUUUUUUAUGUGAUAACAUAAGAUAUAAAUUGCAAUAAGGGUUUCCCUUUUUUACAGCAGCAUAACAUUUCUCACUUCUAUUCAUCUUAUGAUCUAUUUAACAUCCAAAUCUGUUUCUGACAUGCAAUUAUUUAGCUUGUUCUUCCUCACCUUAUUUUUCUGCAGUUCAUUAUUCUUGCCUAAGUGUGUGACCUGUUUGUUUUUACUGAGUUGCAUCCUCUCAACGCCUCUUGAUGUUGUUCUACAAUAUAUACCUGUUAUGUUUGAUUGGCAAAAAUACCUACCCACAGUAACUGUGAAUAAAUCAACAUGUUUGUUUAUUCAAAAAGAAGUUGCUCUCUUAUCUAGAGAAAUCUAACAAAUAAAAUUUUCACAUCUUUUCUAUUGAAUCAGAUUAUCCUUUUUUAUCUAGAUUAUUUUUCAAAGAGGAGAAUACCCUGCUGCCUCAUUUAAAAAAAUACAUAAUUUAGAAGUCAUUAUUUGAAAACAAAGAUUAAAGCAAUGUAGAUUUUGGCAUUCUAGUCUCACAGAAGGAGGAUGUGAAGCAUUCUCAGUUAUGAUAUCCAUAUUUGUACCUAGUACCAUGCCAGGCUAUGAAUAGAUAUUAUAGGAAUCCUGUUCAUGUGCUCUGUGAA
This is a long non-coding RNA of Chiroxiphia lanceolata (lance-tailed manakin), 1688 nucleotides long. RefSeq lists it as uncharacterized. The transcript is spliced from 3 exons. The record is from RefSeq and is a predicted model, not a curated record. NCBI's taxonomy places the organism in Eukaryota, Metazoa, Chordata, Aves, Passeriformes, Pipridae.